AACGAACGCUGGCGGCAGGCUUAACACAUGCAAGUCGAACGGGUGUAGCAAUACAUCAGUGGCAGACGGGUGAGUAACACGUGGGAACCUUCCUAGGGGUACGGAACAACUCAGGGAAACUUGAGCUAAUACCGUAUACGUCCAUGAGGAGAAAGAUUUAUCGCCCUUAGACGGGCCCGCGUCGGAUUAGCUAGUUGGUGGGGUAACAGCCUACCAAGGCGACGAUCCGUAGCUGAUCUUAGAGGAUGAUCAGCCACACUGGGACUGAGACACGGCCCAGACUCCUACGGGAGGCAGCAGCGGGGAAUCUUGGACAAUGGGCGCAAGCCUGAUCCAGCCAUGCCGCGUGAGUGAAGAAGGUCUUCGGAUUGUAAAGCUCUUUUGCCAGGGACGAUAAUGACGGUACCUGGAGAAUAAGCCCCGGCAAACUUCGUGCCAGCCGCCGCCGUAA
This 451-nucleotide ribosomal RNA is filed under the name uncultured bacterium. Its description in RNAcentral is "partial 16S ribosomal RNA". It matches the Rfam family "Bacterial small subunit ribosomal RNA", at positions 29 to 523 of the family's 1533-position model. The record is from RNAcentral.